UGGGGAAUAUUGGACAAUGGGCGAAAGCCUGAUCCAGCCAUGCCGCGUGUGUGAAGAAGGUCUUCGGAUUGUAAAGCACUUUAAGUUGGGAGGAAGGGCAUUAACCUAAUACGUUAGUGUUUUGACGUUACCGACAGAAUAAGCACCGGCUAACUCUGUGCCAGCAGCCGCGGUAAUACAGAGGGUGCAAGCGUUAAUCGGAAUUACUGGGCGUAAAGCGCGCGUAGGUGGUUUGUUAAGUUGGAUGUGAAAGCCCCGGGCUCGACCUGGGAACUGCAUCCAAAACUGGCAAGCUAGAGUACGGUAGAGGGUGGUGGAAUUUCCUGUGUAGCGGUGAAAUGCGUAGAUAUAGGAAGGAACACCAGUGGCGAAGGCGACCACCUGGACUGAUACUGACACUGAGGUGCGAAAGCGUGGGGAGCAAACA
This 427-nucleotide ribosomal RNA is filed under the name uncultured bacterium. Its description in RNAcentral is "partial 16S ribosomal RNA". It matches the Rfam family "Bacterial small subunit ribosomal RNA", at positions 355 to 774 of the family's 1533-position model. The record is from RNAcentral.